Molecule: ribosomal RNA, 293 nt
Filed under: uncultured bacterium
Lineage: Bacteria
Description: partial 16S ribosomal RNA
Source: RNAcentral
GGACUACCGGGGUUUCUAAUCCUGUUUGCUCCCCUUGCUCUCGCGCCUCAGCGUCAGGUGCAAGCUAGAGAACCGCUUUCGCCACCGGUGUUCCUCCACAUCUCUACGCAUUUCACCGCUACUUGUGGAAUUCCGUUCUCUCCGCACGCCCUCAUAGCCUUGCAGUAUUAAGUGCAGCGCUGGAGUUGAGCUCCAGCAUUUCACACCUAACUUACAAGGCCGCCUACGCGCCCUUUACGCCCAGUAAAUCCGACUAAUGCUUGCACCCUCCGUAUUACCGCGGCGGCUGGCAC